RNAcentral lists this ribosomal RNA (253 nucleotides) under uncultured bacterium. Its description in RNAcentral is "partial 16S ribosomal RNA". It matches the Rfam family "Bacterial small subunit ribosomal RNA", at positions 524 to 776 of the family's 1533-position model. The record is from RNAcentral.
UACGAAGGGUGCAAGCGUUACUCGGAAUUACUGGGCGUAAAGCGUGCGUAGGUGGUUUGUUAAGUCUGAUGUGAAAGCCCUGGGCUCAACCUGGGAAUUGCAUUGGAUACUGGCAGGCUAGAGUGCGGUAGAGGGUAGUGGAAUUCCCGGUGUAGCAGUGAAAUGCGUAGAGAUCGGGAGGAACACCAGUGGCGAAGGCGACUACCUGGACCAGCACCGACACUGAGGCACGAAAGCGUGGGGAGCAAACAGG